Non-coding RNA from Peromyscus maniculatus bairdii (prairie deer mouse), 697 nucleotides. The record is from RefSeq and is a predicted model, not a curated record. Lineage: Eukaryota; Metazoa; Chordata; Mammalia; Rodentia; Cricetidae.
CAGUUGGGAGAGGAUCUGGCUGGUGGAGGAAGAUAUCUUCAGAGUAAGACGUCUAGUUCACCAGCUGGUGAAGCACAGGGACACCUUGUGACCCGGCAAUUCCACUUUUUAGAAUGUAUCCAAGAAACACAAGAACAUGUGGGCACACCAAAACUUCCACAAGCGUGCCCUCGGCAGCAUUCUUCUCGGCUGGCAAGAUGACAGGGAACACAAUGGCUCAGGAAGAAGCUGUUCUACCCUUUCUAUUCAAUGGACCGUGGCAGAUCAUGUAUUGAACCCUGGUCAUACAUGGGGAAGGAGAGUCCCACAGUUCCUGCACACGUGGAACUUGGAAGCAGCCUUGUGCUGAUACAAUGUGGCAGUCACCUCACGCUCCUGCACCAGGAUUUCUCCUGCCAUGAUGGACUGUAUCCUCUUACACUGUGACCUGAAAUAGCCCCAACUCUCUCAUAAGCUGCUUUCCUCAGGUAUUUUGUCAUAGUAAUGAGAAAUUUAGUCAACACAUUGGAUUCUAACCGCUCAGCUGGAAUCCAAGGAAGGCCUACAUUAGAAUUCUAGGGUUCACCAUGACCCAAUCCUAGGGAGCCUCAGCUUCAGAUUCCAGGACAUGGUGGGCAGGAUUUAAUUAGCAUAGUCAGGUUAGUGGGCAGUGACUAUCCGGACCUCUAGGCUCCAAUGAGUGCUCCCCCACCCCCCA